GCUCAAGCCUGUGAUUCAAGAAGAGCUCCCAUAAAAAAGGUGGUCCAAGGCUGAGGUUGCUGCAGUGAUGAAGCAUUUUAAUGACCACAUAAACAAAGGGAAACUGGCCACCAGAAAUGAAUGCAGUCAUUGGAAACUGGCAGAGGAACCAGUGUUGGCAGGAAGAACAGUUCAGAACAUAAAAGAUUUGAUAAACUCGAGAAGCAACCCCAGAUCGGAUCAAAAGUAAAAUUGUUUUUUGGACGGGUGGGUGGAUACAUCAUUUCCAUAACUGGCCACCGAAAGGGUGUGGCCAUCAACAUGAGUAUUGAGGAAUAGAAUAUUUAGAUGUACAAUGAGAUAGAGAGAAAAUGAAGUAUUGCACAGUGGUAUUUUAUAGAGGGAAAGCCCUUGGAAUGGGGGGGCUGUGUUAUCAGUGAAUCAGAGGGGGUUUAAACGGUAGAAAAAAACUAAGCAUGGUGCCCACAUCAUCCGUAAGUACGAAAACUAUAAGAGUUAUAGUUACCUAAGAGGCAUAUACAUUGUUUAGUCAGCUGAUCAGAGAGAAUGAACAUGUCUUUUGAUUUAUUAGGUUGAACAGCACAAGACUCAAAAGUACCAUGGGCAAGCAGCGGUCCCUCUAUAGGAACGAGCACGCCUGGUUGCAGCGUUACAGCUAUUAGAGAAAAUAUUGAAGGCAGUUCGGAGGCAUCUACUUUUUCCCCACAGUUCCAAUGGAGGUGUUCAUCAUAAGCUACCGGAAAUUUCAAGGCAGCCUGGGAGAAGAUGAAUAUGGGGACUGCACCCACAUUCAACAUGCUAUAUUUCUCCAGUAGCACUUAUCUUAAGGACCCUGCAGAGGACACCCUCCAGAGCUGAGCACUGACAACGAAUGCAUUUUCAACAUAUGCAGCAAAGAAAGUGAAAAGGAGAGAGGACAGAGAAUCUAUGCAGGACAAAGACAAUCAAGGAUCUGACCAGGAAGAGCAGGAGUCAUCAGGACCAGAGGAGCUUCUAGAAAGAUGGCUCUCCCAGUGUCUGAAUAACAAGAUGGGGAGCCUCCCUCAGGAUGAAGGUGCUGGUGGUGCCAGAACCACAUUACCCACACAGGAAGACAAUUCGGAAGAGGACAAAGGACAAGUACGGAUAAGGGUUCCUAAGACAGCCACGAAAAAAACCCUGGGCGUCCUGUGUGUCAUAUACUGGGUUAUGUUAGUGCCUGUGUUGAGCUGUGGGCAUUGCAGCUUUACGCCAUCUUUGCAGCUCCUAGCUGUUGCAUGCAUUGUUGUGCCGUUAUAACUGAUACCACAGGCGCCUGUAACUUUUACCAAAUGCUUUUACCUGCAGGUAGGGGGCUGAAGUCCAUUCCUGACAGUUUGAUUUGUAUUUAAACCAUAAAUACCAACAUGAAGCUGCAUUUAGGUUUUGUUUUUUUAUAAAAUGUACAGGACAAGCCAAUAUUGAUGAUUACCAGUCCAAUACCAAAUUCCAACCGUGACUGAAGUUAGUCAGUCACUCUCAAGACACACGUAAGAACAAUUCCUUACAAAUGUCAACAAAUGUGUAAAUCCCAUGUUAUUAAAUUAUCUUUUACAA
Pundamilia nyererei is the source of this 1575-nucleotide long non-coding RNA. RefSeq lists it as uncharacterized. The record is from RefSeq and is a predicted model, not a curated record. The transcript is spliced from 4 exons. Lineage: Eukaryota; Metazoa; Chordata; Actinopteri; Cichliformes; Cichlidae.